RNAcentral lists this long non-coding RNA (3393 nucleotides) under Sus scrofa (pig). Its description in RNAcentral is "lncRNA (ENSSSCG00000056857.1)". The record is from RNAcentral. Lineage: Eukaryota; Metazoa; Chordata; Mammalia; Artiodactyla; Suidae.
UGGCAAUAAAAGGGCAGUGGUGUCUGGAAACUUCAGGAAGUUCUUCUACUCAAUCCAUGUGGAUGGCACAUUGGGGAUAGUGAUCUGGCAUCAGGAGCCAUAUGAGGCAGGACAGCACUUGAAAUACCCUUGAACCUUUUGACUCUUGCUGCAACAGUGUUCACAUUCUACCUUCUACCCGACUUCCAUAUGUGAAUCUGUUUUCCCCACUAACUGCAUGUGCCUGAAGAUCAGAUCUGGGUUCUUUGUGUAAUGCCUGCUGCUCUGAGCACAGUACACUUCACAGAGCAAGUACUUAAGCAGAUCCAUGUGGAAUUAAAUCCAUAUCUCAGAUCUUUCUUUUAACUUAUCCUGGGCGAGGUGCGCAGUCACAGAGAGAAUAAGACAGGCACCAAUACUGCACGAGUGGUCAGUGUACUCAAAUGUGGCAAGAAUGGGGUGCCAGACAUGCUCGGCAGAAGGUGAAACCAGCGGCAGGAGGAGGGAUGUGCAGGAGUGCCUAACAGAAGUCUCAUGGUAAAAUUGUUCACCUUGCUUUUAUCUUGGGGUAGAUGCUUAUUCCAGAGAUUCAUGGGAACAGAGUGAAAUCCCAAGACCCACAUGGGUUGGGAGGUCUGCUCUGUCACAUAGGAACUACAUUCAAGGCUCUGUGGUAGAUUCUGGGGCUCAUACAUAGUCCUUGCCCCUAAGGAUCUCAGAGUUCAGGAGGGAGAAGCAGACAAGUAAACAGUGGAUGUGUAUAAUAAGACGUAGAGUGUACAAGGUAGAAUAAGCCCUCUAAAACACACCUUUUGGUGAAACGAGGACAUUAGUGGCAAUCUAAAUGAUUGCUGAGUGGAAAGGGCAUACUAGCCAGAAGGGACCUCAUUGAUAAAGAAAAGGAGGUAAACUACUACCCUGGCUGUUGGGCAGGGACAGCGAGGAGUUGAGGACCCCAAAGCAUGAGUGAUGGGUAUUGGCACAAGGCUGGAAAAGUAAAAAGACAAAUUCAUGGAGGUCUUUGCCUGCCUCCCUCAGGGAGGAGUCAGGGUCCCUGACCACCCUUCUUCUGGAUCUGCAAUGAUUCAUACAUGAAUUUUUAAAAGAUCACUGCUGCAUGCCAGAAACUAUUGUAAACUACUGGAGGGAGGUACCAUUAUUAUUCCCACUUUAUAGCUGAAAAAAUAGAGGCUUGGAAUGAUUUAGGAAACUCCUCCAAAGUCACACAGCUAAGAACUGAUGUAAUUGGAUCCCUGAGAAACACAGUUAUUUAAGAGUUGGACAGCUGACUAGGAACUGGGGAAUAAUACUGGAAGAAGGAGGCCAGAGACAUUAGUGGACAAUAAGAGAGUUUGAGGAGAGAUUAAAGGCUGAAAGAUGACAAAGGAAAAUAAUUAAUUUUGAAGUUUCAUUUACCUUUUUAAGACCUUUUUCAGUGAUAUUAUCAUCUGGACAAGCCAGGUGGCAGAGGUUUGAAGAGUGACUGGGAGGUGAGUAAGUUGGUUGAUCAGGCUAUUCUUUUGAGGAGUUUGGCUAUAAAGGGCAGGAGAGAGAUGGAGAAAUAACCAGAAGCAGACACAAAGCAUGGAGAGCAUUUCCAAAUGGGUAAUAUAGAUAUUAUGGGCUAUGGGGGAAGAACGCAGUAGAGAUGGAAAGAAUGAAAUUACAGGAGAGAAAGAAAAGUGUUGCUUGUGAAAAAGAUGAAGAACACAAGUGCCUUGAGAGGUGGCAGCCAGGGUCUUGGAAACUGGUUAUAAUUUGGAAUAGCCACUUCAAGAAAUAGCAGAGGAAGCUGGCCAGGAUCAUGUAAAAGGAUUGCAGGCUUUUGGGCUUUUGAAAAUUUAAAUGAUAAAUCUCUCAGGGACUCUGUGUGUGUGUGUGUGUGUGUGUGUGUGUGUGUGUGUGUGUAAGUGCAUCUGUGUUUACACAGAAUACUUAGCAUUCUGUAUGUGGAAACUAAAAGUUCAUGAAUGAGAUUGAGCCAAAGUGGAAAGCAGGACAGAAGGACCCUAAGGAUUCUGGCUGAAGUGAUGCUAUGGGGAUGCUGAGAGGAGAGAAUGAAAGAGCCAUGGGGAAGGUUAUGGUCAGUGAGAAGGGAGGGGAGGAGACACUGAGAUCUCAGAUUGAAGAGCAUUGGAAUUGAGGGGGUGAGAUGGCUGAGACCCCAGGACUGUAUUCAGAGACUUCUUGAUGGAGCAACUCCAGGUGAUGAUGGGGCCUAAGAGGGGUUCAUAAGAGUGGGCAGCUGUGUGGAGUGGAGGUGGAGAUUGUUGGGUUGAGGAUGUGAAAAGCUCUGCAGGCAGGUGAUAGAGGUGUCACCCACAAGAUGGGUGGUCAAUGUCCAGGAUGACAGCACCACUUGCAGUAAAGAAUUAUGAUGUGGAGACAAUGCAUUCCAUGAAUGGGUCUCAGGGGAUGUGGGCUUGGGGAAGUGUGUAAAUGACAUAACAGCAGCAAGAUGAGUGGCUUGGCUGGGUGACACAGACCUCAAGGAAGAGAGGUCAUUCCAUGAAGGUGAAAGGCUAAUGACCUGGAGGUGGUAAAUGGAGAACUAGGGACAUUCUGGAGCUAUUUCCCCAUUCUAGCUCUUGCUUCAUAUCAACUUAGAUAUCUAUCUCUUGAUUUUGCAAGUUGGAGGACACUCUAAAUAUCCCCAAAAGGACCAGCCUUAUGCUGGUGCUCCACCCACCCUCCACCUUCCCCCAUUUUCCACCUCCAUACCUAUCUUCCCACCAAGGGUCACUUUCUUUGAGAAAGAUAACAAAUGCAGAUUUUCCAGUACAAGUAUCUCCAAAGAAGGCUAAUAUUUUAAGCUAUUGUUGACUAUGAACUAGGGCUUGAUCACUGUCCACUCAGUUAGACAACAAGAAAACCUGAGAGAUGAGAAAAUGAAUGAGAUUUUCCAGAGGGGCUCCAACAAGAAAUAGUCAGGUACAGGGCACCUUCCGCUGGCCUGCUCCAGUGAUGCAAUCUGUAAAUGGGAAUUGUGACCCUGCCGUGUGCACAGGCUAUGGUGAGCUCCCAUGGAAAACUCAGGGGCACUGGACACAUAGGUGACCCUGAGCCUGAGAUAGAUGCUCAGGGUCCUGGUGACAGUAUAGAGCAGAGACCUGGUUUCCUGUGAAUACAGUCUUUGUGCUGUUUCCACCCUUUCUCACAUCUCUAUCGAACUUUUUAAAAAAUAAGACCGGGAGUUCCCAUUGCGGCUCAGCAGUAACCUGACUAAUACCCAUGAGGAUGCAGAUUCAAUCCCUGGCUCACUCAGUAGAUGAAGGAUCCAUCGUUGCCAUGAGCUGUGAUGUAGGUUGCAGACAUGGCUUGGAUCUUGCAUUGCUGUGGCUGUGGUAUAGGCUGACAGCUGCAGUUUCAAUUUACCCCCUAGCCUGGGAACUUCCACAUACCACAGGUGUGGCC